Lolium perenne is the source of this 2291-nucleotide long non-coding RNA. RefSeq lists it as uncharacterized. The record is from RefSeq and is a predicted model, not a curated record. Lineage: Eukaryota; Viridiplantae; Streptophyta; Magnoliopsida; Poales; Poaceae.
GUGGUGAGCUGAGGUGAUCUGACCGCAUAAGUAUCCUUAUUUGUGUAUUGACAAUGUCCAUUGUUGUCUUUUGACUACAAUAUUGAUAAUGAGAAGAAGUUGUGAUGAAUUUUUAUCGUUUGUUCGUUUUUUUUUUUAUAAAUCUGCAACUCUAAAUAAUACAGUAAAAAAUUGGAAUAGGUAGUUUCGGCGCAUUGUGUAUCAGUGAUUGCAACAUUCUCUUAUGAAAAUCCGCAUCCUGGUACCAUUCAGGAAUGGACCUUUUAGUUCCUUUCUAUACUAUUUGCUCUCUAGCUGUCCCAUUUACUGCAGUUCUAUAAUUCUAGACUUAAAACAGGACAGUGGAUACGACAAGAGGUGGCAUUUGCAUAGGAAAGCAUCGGUUUCAUUAAAUCGCCAAGUUAUUUUUGGGCGAAUUUCUUGUCCAAGUCGCUGGCGCUGAUGGUGGUUUAUGUUUCUUGCCCACCCAUACACUACCGUGCAGCGAUAAGAGGCUCUGAAGAAUUUGAAUGAAGCACAACCCCACUGUCUGUGUCCUGGCGUCGUCGCGGCAUCGCUGUUGUCUGCAUUCCUGGUGAUUUUUUAUUUAUUUGACAUAUGUUCUUUGGUGUCUAAUAUUACUUUCUGAUGAUUCUUUUUCUUGCUUUUGGUUGAGAUUUUUUGAUUGUGCAAAACUUCUGGUGUGGCUCCUUCCCGAUGCUCAAUAGGAGGUUCGUGGGCUGCCACUGCUUCCUCCUCCUCGACCCUCAUUAGGAAGAGCACGAGGUGCCGCCAAACUGCGACAGACGGUGAGCACGAGCCACCAGCACACCACACCAGAGGGUAUAUUGUUUUCACAAUUUUAUUUUGCUUUACCACAAGUAAAAACUGGAUAUAUAAAAGCAUUGUAUUGUAAAAUUUUAGUGCAGAGAAGCAGUUUUUCUUCCACAUGUAUUGUCAGCUCCUAUUUUUAUGUCCAAUUAAUUAAUCAUCAACAUUAAACACUAAUUAUAUUUUUCAUGGGAUCCUUCCAUUUGACCAAUGUAUGCAUGCUUAAAAUGUUGUUAGCUUUGGGUACAUGGAAAUGAAAGCUUGCGAUAUGAGCUUAAUAUAACCAUUCGCCUCAAGAUUUUUCUCCAUAAAGCUGGCAAUUUCAACGUGGUUGUUAGUAACCACUUCUAUUUGAUUAUGAAUAUGGUUCACUAUGUUCAGAAAUAACUCCUGGAAUGUAGGUCUGAAUAUUACAUAUCAUUUUAUAUAUCUGUUUUCCUUAAUUUUCAUUUAAUGACAUUUAUACUGAAUGGAGUAUAUUUGUAGUCCAAAGAAACAUUGAGCAGGUGCCGUUGCAACUGCUACUCUGAUUUGUUUACCAUUCUUGUGAGGAUUCACCAUAUUAAUUGGGAAAGGGUUGCUUUCAUUGUUUUAUUUUGCGGUAAUGCUUUCUUAAUUCAUCUAAAAAAGCUUUCUUAGUUUCUGAAUUUUCAUAAUUUGUUGUGAAUAAUAAACAGAGUGCUUUAUCAGAGUGUGCUAAUAUCCGUUCUUGACCUCUCCCAAGUCUCAAUUGUUUAUAAUUCAGUCAUUGCCCCGCUAACACUGCUAAUUUUUGUGGUGGAUUUUGCUUCGGUUAUUUUUAUUUAUCCUACUACCAUAUUAUGUGGUGGAUUUUGCUUCGGUCAUUGCCCCGCUAACAUGUAAAACUGACUUUAGCUUUAUAGAGAAUAUCAGGUUUCCAUGAUUCAGAGAACAUGUGUUAACUGGUUACCUUCAUUUUACUCUGGAACAAUAUUCAUAUUCAGUGGGAAAAAAACUCAGGUGAUUUUUCUAUUUAAAUGAGUGCUAUUGUAUAAAUGCUUAUGCUAAAUAAGAUUACCAGUUUGGAUGAUAUUUUUUUACCAAUUUGGAUGAUAUCUUCUAGAUGCUCUUACUCUGAUGAAGCGAGUGCUACUCUAAAUGUCUAGGUACUUCCAUAUUUGGCAUGCUCCUUGGCAUUUACUGAUUUGUCAAACUACUAUUGUGCUCAUUUACCAAUUUGGACGACAGUUUUCACCAUGAUAACUACAUAUAUGAAGGUAUACAACACAAGAAGCAAGAUCCGAAGAUGAGAAAUGAACUAAUACUUAGUAGCCGUAGAAACAACUGAUCGCGAAGUCAGAACAACAGCGGAGAAUUGUUACAAUUGUUACAAUGUUUUCCAAACUCAAUGGUGACAUGUUAUGACCAAAACCACCACAUGGACUGACUUACCACUUGAAAGGACGCAUAGUACGACUUUAUGGGCGCGUUUGCUAGGCUGCAUGCUCCUUGGCUCGCAU